UACGAAGGGGGCUAGCGUUGUUCGGAAUUACUGGGCGUAAAGCGUUUGUAGGCGGUUGACCAAGUCAGUGGUGAAAGCCCAGGGCUUAACCCUGGAAUUGCCAUUGAAACUGUUCAGCUAGAGAGUGUUAGAGGAAAGUGGAAUUCCUAGUGUAGGAGUGAAAUCCGUAGAGAUUAGGAGGAAUAUCGAUGGCGAAGGCAGCUUUCUGGGACAUUUCUGACGCUGAGAAACGAAAGCGUGGGUAGCAAACAGG
Molecule: ribosomal RNA, 253 nt
Filed under: uncultured bacterium
Lineage: Bacteria
Description: partial 16S ribosomal RNA
Rfam family: Bacterial small subunit ribosomal RNA
Source: RNAcentral